AACGAACGCUGGCGGCAUGCCUAACACAUGCAAGUCGAACGAGACCUUCGGGUCUAGUGGCGCACGGGUGCGUAACGCGUGGGAACCUGCCCUUAGGUUCGGAAUAACUCCCCGAAAGGGGUGCUAAUACCGGAUAAUGUCUUCGGACCAAAGAUUUAUCGCCUUUGGAUGGGCCCGCGUUGGAUUAGCUAGUUGGUAGGGUAAAAGCCUACCAAGGCGACGAUCCAUAGCUGGUCUGAGAGGAUGAUCAGCCACACUGGGACUGAGACACGGCCCAGACUCCUACGGGAGGCAGCAGUGGGGAAUAUUGGACAAUGGGCGAAAGGCUGAACCAGCAAUGCCGCGUGAGUGAUGGAGGCCUUAGGGUUGUAAAGCUCUUUUACCCGGGAUGAUAAUGACAGUACCGGGAGAAUAAGCGCCGGCUAACUCCGUG
Molecule: ribosomal RNA, 433 nt
Filed under: uncultured bacterium
Lineage: Bacteria
Description: partial 16S ribosomal RNA
Rfam family: Bacterial small subunit ribosomal RNA
Source: RNAcentral